CCCAUGACCACGGGAUAACCCGUUGAAAGACGGACUAAUACCGUAUGACGUCGUUUGCUGACAUCAAAUAACGAUUAAAGGUAUAGCGGUGAUGGACGGGGAUGCGUCUGAUUAGCUUGUUGGCGGGGUAACGGCCCACCAAGGCUACGAUCAGUAGGGGUUCUGAGAGGAAGGUCCCCCACAUUGGAACUGAGACACGGUCCUAACUCCUACGGGAGGCAGCAGUGAGGAAUAUUGGUCAAUGGGCGAGAGCCUGAACCAGCCAAGUAGCGUGCAGGAUGACGGCCCUAUGGGUUGUAAACUGCUUUUAUGCGGGGAUAAAGUGCGUGACGUGUCACGCAUUGCAGGUACCGCAUGAAUAAGGACCGGCUAAUUCCGUGCCAGCAGCCGCGGUAAUACGGAAGGCCCGGGCGUUAUCCGGAUUUAUUGGGUUUAAAGGGAGCGUAGGCCGCCAGGUAAGCGUGUUGUGAAAUGUACCGGCUCAACCGGUGAAUUGCAGCGCGAACUGUCUGGCUUGAGUGCACGGUAAGCAGGCGGAA
This 539-nucleotide ribosomal RNA is filed under the name uncultured Bacteroidales bacterium. RNAcentral's name for it is "bacterial SSU rRNA". It matches the Rfam family "Bacterial small subunit ribosomal RNA", at positions 129 to 666 of the family's 1533-position model. The record is from RNAcentral. Lineage: Bacteria; Pseudomonadati; Bacteroidota; Bacteroidia; Bacteroidales.